This 451-nucleotide ribosomal RNA is filed under the name uncultured bacterium. RNAcentral describes it as "partial 16S ribosomal RNA". It matches the Rfam family "Bacterial small subunit ribosomal RNA", at positions 354 to 796 of the family's 1533-position model. The record is from RNAcentral.
GUGGGGAAUAUUGGACAAUGGGGGGAACCCUGAUCCAGCCAUGCCGCGUGUGUGAAGAAGGCCUUUUGGUUGUAAAGCACUUUAAGCGAGGAGGAGGCUACCGAGAUUAAUACUCUUGGAUAGUGGACGUUACUCGCAGAAUAAGCACCGGCUAACUCUGUGCCAGCAGCCGCGGUAAUACAGAGGGUGCACGCGUUAAUCGGAUUUACUGGGCGUAAAGCGCGCGUAGGUGGCCAAUUAAGUCAAAUGUGAAAUCCCCGAGCUUAACUUGGGAAUUGCAUUCGAUACUGGUUGGCUAGAGUAUGGGAGAGGAUGGUAGAAUUCCAGGUGUAGCGGUGAAAUGCGUAGAGAUCUGGAGGAAUACCGAUGGCGAAGGCAGCCAUCUGGCCUAAUACUGACACUGAGGUGCGAAAGCAUGGGGAGCAAACAGGAUUAGAUACCCCUGUAGUCC